CGGCGGUGGCGGCGCUUGCGGCGGCGGUGGCGGCGCUUGCGGCGGCGAAGGCAGCGCAGCCCGAGGCGGCGGGUGGGAAAAGGAUUGCCAGAGGGGCCUGCGGGAGACCCAGGGUCGGACCCGUAGGGGUCCUGCCGUCAGGACCUCCUUGAUCGGCCUUCUGCUUGUUCCCGGUGGAGGAGGAGCUUCAGGGUGCCGGCUGGGCUGUGCAGACUCCUCUUCGGAUCCGAGGAUGGAUCCCACCGGGUGAUCGAGAAUGGGGUUGCAAUGCAGUGAGGCGGGAAGGGUCUCGCUGGGGCACAGAAAGAUCCCUAGGGCCCCAAGGCGUGCUGUCGGCGGAAAAUGAACUGACACACAAGCCCACUGCCUCCCUCCUUCCUGGGUGGAGCAGUGGCCUGCCUUCAUCUCCAAGGCCUGGGGGCUCCGGCAUACCGACACUGCUUCCCGCGACACGUGCAAAGACAGACAUAGGCGAGUCCGAGAUGGAGCCAGUGUGACCACACGUGGCACCGACGUCCCCAAAAGCAGAUGGAGUGAGCAGGUGUCUUUGAGGCCGUAGGGGGCGAUGGCGAGACGGACAGUGAUGUCCAGCCGUGCGCCCGGGGGCCACGGGAGACCUCCGCAACAAAGCUGAGGAAAAGCCAAGCGCACCUGAAAACCUGCGAGACAGGGCCUGCGCCCGAAUCCAAGCCACAUUCAGAGAUGCCUGCCAGAGGGGCCGAGAGCUUUCCACAAACUACACCCCACCCCCACCCCGCCAUCGGGUAGGUACCCCCGACGCGACCUCCCCUGCACCCAGCAAAACCCAGUCCCUUUGGCUUCCUGACAUCCGUGGCAGCCAGAAGAUUCAGCGCUAGAAGCCUCUUUCCCCAGGAGCAGAGGAACCCGAUGGCCCUCAAGAAUCAGAGAGGAAGUGCAGGUGGCAUGCCACACCGCCUUUCCUAGAAGGCAAAUGUCAGGAACGUUCGGGUUGCCUCCCGCUCUUCCUGGACGGACCACGGGGCCACAGAGACCCAGAAAGCUUCCCUGUCCCAGACAGCUAUGGAAGCCCAGAGCUCCAGGAUCACCACACCUGCCCAAUCAUGCUGAAAGAGGUUUGGAGAAGGAAACAAUCAUGACACUGACCCCCAGGAACUUUCUCCCGGAUGGACUGGGAAGUCUUCUGGGUUGAAGACAUUGAGCCAGACUAACAAGCCCCUAGGCCUCUCAGAAACAGGGCAGGCAGAGCAAGAGGGAGGACAGAGCAGAGGUCAGAACCCAGGCAGGAUUGGCGGCAAUGCCACCACCACGGCCAUCCGGGGAGGAGUGCCAAACGGGUGACUUGGCCACGAAGGCCAGCGUUGGAGCCACAGAGAUGUUUGCCCCAUCCCAUUGCCGGCUUCCUUUUCCGUCCCUGUGUCGAGCUGUGGCUAGAUUUCUCAGUGAGGGCACACGCGAGAGGAUUGAGAGGAGUGAGGUCGAUGGGCACCUCGACCUGCAUAAGCAGGUUGAUGAUGAGCUUUUGUGAGAAUUUUUUCCUUUGCUGGGGUGUGGUUGUCUUGAUUCUAGCAAUGAGGCCGCUCAUGAUUGGGAGCUGAUUUAAUCCCCUCCGUGUCUCAUGUAGCUCCCCACGUUGCCCACCGGUCACGAACCCAAACUGUAACCGCCUGGAAAACGAAUGACACCCGGCCACAUGACCCAGACAGAGAUGCGAGGAGAGACUCACCAGAAGAAAGGCCAAGGUACAAGAAACCGCCCUUCAUUGCCCAUGCAUCCCAACACACGCACGCACCCGCGCACACACGGAUGGAAACUGGUAGAGAGUGAUAGACGGAGAAUGAAAACAGAAAUAAGAGAAAGAGACACAACCCAGACAUACUGCAGUGGCACAGUAACAUUCAUCCCCAGGCAGCCCCUGAAGCCUCUGGGUUCUGCUCUGCGCGACAACGACCCUGGGGUGAGAGAGCAGCCCUUGGGCAUACAAGCAGACCUGUCCUGGAGAUCGCAAGGGCACGACUUUUGGGGAGACUCACCGGCACACCGUCCGCGCAGGCCUGAGCCUGGGAUACUGCGCUGCUUCCCAGACGCUCCGCCUGAGGUUUCUUCCUCCUGGUCGAACCUCCGCGAAUCCUGGCCUCGGGAUACCAUCCCGUCGACGCCCCAGUGAGGACUAGACUUAGCCCCGAGGCCGAUGCGCUGCCACAGAAGGCUCCUCCUUCGCGGAGAGUGAAGAACUCAUCUCCAGACAACGGUGGCGGUCUCUGUGACACUGAGCAUCGCCCUGUUACCCAGGCUAAAGUGCAGUGGGAAGAUCUCAGCUCACUGCAACCUCUGCCUCCAAGGUUCAAGAGAUUCUCCUGCCUCAGCCUCCCAAGUAGCUGGGAUAAACUAAACUAAACUACUAAACUAAACUAAACUAAACUAAACUGCUAAACUAAGGGGUUUGGAGGGCUCCUGGAUUAUUGAACACGUAAAGGUUCCUGGAGGGUGGUGCAGCCAGAGACGGCAUGGAAGCUCUGCACCCCUCCCCCAUAUCUUGCCCUAUGCAUCUCUUCCUUCUGGCUGUUAAUCUGUAUCCUUGUCAAUAUCCUUUAUAAUAAAUGGG
This 2584-nucleotide long non-coding RNA is filed under the name Pan troglodytes (chimpanzee). RNAcentral's name for it is "long non-coding RNA NONPTRT008480". The record is from RNAcentral. Lineage: Eukaryota; Metazoa; Chordata; Mammalia; Primates; Hominidae.